RNAcentral lists this long non-coding RNA (578 nucleotides) under Homo sapiens (human). RNAcentral describes it as "HSALNT0356577". Lineage: Eukaryota; Metazoa; Chordata; Mammalia; Primates; Hominidae. The record is from RNAcentral.
AGCAAUUCUCCUGCCUCAGCUUCCCAAGUAUCUGGGACUACAGGGUUUUUACCUUAAAUAACUAAUUACUGGCCAUAUUUGGGAAGUGUUGAAAAAAAGCAGACAAUCUGAGGAUGAUGUUGACUUGGGGAUCCAAAGGCACAGGUGACAACAUCAAAACUACCUGCAAGUCUCACUUCAUGGAACACAACAGAAACUCUGCAUAAGAAAAAAGGAAAUCCACAAAGCUUGUAGAAUGGUAACAACUACUAUAUAUAUAUAUAUAUAUAUAUAUAUAUAUAUAUAUAUAUAUAUAUGCACUGUUUUAGGAUGUAAAAACUCUUCAAUAAAAAUGCUCCAACUGGAACCUCAAGAUCGAACUGCGAGUUAGAGAGAAGAGAAGGAACUGGGCUGAAGGAAGUGCAGUACCCAGGCAAAGGCACACAACUAGUGAGCAAGGGGGCAGAGACCAAGCUCAAGGUCUCAGACAUCACCCCUUGAGCUGUUUCCACAAUACCACAUGCUACUCACAUUGAUUGACUGAUUGAUUGAUUGACAUGGUCUCUGUCGCCAGGCUGCAGUGCAGUGGCGUGAUCUUG